UACGGGGGGGGCAAGCGUUGUUCGGAAUUACUGGGCGUAAAGGGCUCGUAGGCGGCCAACUAAGUCAGACGUGAAAUCCCCAGGCUCAACCUGGGAACUGCGUCUGAUACUGGAUGGCUUGAAUUCGGGAGAGGGAUGCAGAAUUCCAGGUGUAGCGGUGAAAUGCGUAGAUAUCUGGAGGAAUACCGGUGGCGAAGGCGGCAUCCUGGACCGAUAUUGACACUGAUGAGCGAAAGCCAGGGGAGCAAACGGG
This 253-nucleotide ribosomal RNA is filed under the name uncultured bacterium. RNAcentral describes it as "partial 16S ribosomal RNA". It matches the Rfam family "Bacterial small subunit ribosomal RNA", at positions 524 to 776 of the family's 1533-position model. The record is from RNAcentral.